CUCAGGCACAGGGAGAUGAUGGGGUCUCAGGCUCAGCUGUUCUGCCUCCUGCUUCUCUGCAUCCCAGGUUCCAGGGGAGCCAUUGAGGUGACCCAGUCACCAUCCUCCCUGGCUGUGUCUCCAGGAGAGAGGGUCACCCUGUCCUGCAGGGCCAGUCAGAGCAUUAACAACCAUAUAUUCUGGUUCCAAAAGUACCCAGGCCAGGCUCCUGGGGUCCUUAUUAGGUAUGCUUCCACCCUGCACUCUGGGGUCCCUGCCCGGUUCAGUGGCAGUGGCUCUGGGACAGAUUUCUCUCUUACCAUCAGUGCUGUGGAACCAGAGGAUGUCGCAGACUAUUACUGCCUACAAGUCAAUAGCUGGCCUCUCACAGUGCUCUAG
Molecule: non-coding RNA, 378 nt
Organism: Monodelphis domestica (gray short-tailed opossum)
Lineage: Eukaryota; Metazoa; Chordata; Mammalia; Didelphimorphia; Didelphidae
Source: the annotation of a RefSeq genome assembly